This 497-nucleotide ribosomal RNA is filed under the name uncultured bacterium. RNAcentral describes it as "partial 16S ribosomal RNA". It matches the Rfam family "Bacterial small subunit ribosomal RNA", at positions 28 to 507 of the family's 1533-position model. The record is from RNAcentral.
GAUGAACGCUGGCGGCGUGCCUAAUACAUGCAAGUCGAGCGAACAGACGAGGAGCUUGCUCCUCUGACGUUAGCGGCGGACGGGUGAGUAACACGUGGAUAACCUACCUAUAAGACUGGGAUAACUUCGGGAAACCGGAGCUAAUACCGGAUAAUAUAUUGAACCGCAUGGUUCAAUAGUGAAAGACGGUUUUGCUGUCACUUAUAGAUGGAUCCGCGCCGCAUUAGCUAGUUGGUAAGGUAACGGCUUACCAAGGCGACGAUGCGUAGCCGACCUGAGAGGGUGAACGGCCACACUGGAACUGAGACACGGUCCAGACUCCUACGGGAGGCAGCAGUAGGGAAUCUUCCGCAAUGGGCGAAAGCUUGACGGAGCAACGCCGCGUGAGUGAUGAAGGUCUUCGGAUCGUAAAACUCUGUUAUUAGGGAAGAACAAAUGUGUAAGUAACUAUGCACGUCUUGACGGUACCUAAUCAGAAAGCCACGGCUAACUACGUG